UUUUUUUUCCAUUUGUUUCCUCUCUUCGCCCCCCGGACGAACACGAAAUUCCCUAUGGCCGCCCUCCGUCCCCGCAGGAGGCAGUGGAGCCCUGCGGAGCUCACAGCCCCCAGCCCUGCACCGGGCAUUGUCCCCCUUCCCGGCAUUCAGGUGAACAGGAACGCUGAGCCCCGAAUGACAAGACCUUCUACAUCAACAGAGUAAAUUGGGGAUUUUUCCCUUGAUCUGCCAGCUGUAUCAAAAAUACCCUCCUGGAUGCAGGACACGGGCGAGCGAGAGGCAGGAGCAUGUGCUAUUUUGAGGUUCAAUAUAAAAUAGAUACCCUUGGCUUCAGCAGUUCUCCGUAGCCCGGCCCACAGGAGCUGCAGAGCCCUCCAGGAACUGGAAAAUCCAGAUUCGCAGCAUCUCCCAGGGAAAGACGAUUUCCUACGAGCCCCCCCAGCACGAGGGUCCUGCUUAAGGUUAAGCUCGUGAGUGCCUUUGGUUUUGCACCGAGUUAAUCUCCCCCCAAAAUAAAAGACCUGGGGAAUGCUGGUGAAAACUGCUGAUGUUGCCAGCUGGUCCCUGGUUUAGUCCCAUCCCUCUUCCAGAGCCAGGCAUGGAUUUCACCACCACUGCAGGCAUUGAAUGCCCGUCCCCACACCGUGCCCUGUCCUGCUUCAGCUUCCCCUUCUGAAAACAGGGUAAACCCAUCCACCUCCCAGGGGUGCAUUAUCGUGGCUUAAAAUUAACACUCGAAAAUGUAUUUUCAAAUCCCUUCAUGAGAGGCACCAGAAGCACUAGGUGUUAGCAGAGUAGAUCUUUCACCUUUUAACAGCUGUUAAUUGCCAUUAAACCCAAACAUGCACAGCUUUAUUGGAACAGCGUCCGAAUUUCCAUGUCGUGUUGCAAAGCCUGUGCCCGCCCUCAGUUGUGCUCUCUGGCACGUGCCAGCUGCCUCGACAAGGUGUGACGGAUAAAUCCUGCCUCUCUGGUAGUCAUCCUGCACACUGGGACCCAUUUUGGGGUCUCCUGAUGCCAGGCUCUUUCCUUCCCCCUCCCCACCAUGCUGUGAGUCCUUAGCACCAGACCUACCGUCACUGCACGGAACUCCAACACCCCCUCCCUGACUCGCAGCAGAGAAGUAGAUGGGAUGCAAAACCCGUUCCCAAAAAUACCCCGAAGAAGCAAGCAGGAACCUGCCCGCAAGGAACUGGGUCCCUAAGGCUGAAUCCGGCCCGCAGCUGCCAGGAAAAGCACGUGCUGGGUGUCACAGGGAUGGGAAUAGCCCGCUGUGACAAACGGGAGUAAAUCAAAGUCAUCAACAGGCAGGGCUGGGGCAAGGCUGCCAGCACUGCCCUCCCUGUAGCCACCACUCUGGGGGAGUCCCUUCCCUGCUGUCUUUGGGGUCUGUUGAAUCAGCCCCAUCCACAGCAUCCCUCCAUCACCCUGGGACUGCCCUAUGGAACAGCCAAGUGCCAGGCAGAGGAGAAGCCCUUGGUGUUGUGGCAAGAGUUUUCCCCGAGUCCAGGAAGCUGCUGGCUCCUCACGGGUACUUUAUGCACCCCCAAACAACCAAACCCAGCUGGGAGUGCCUGCACCGGGUACCAAACUGCUAAAACACGUGAGAUGGAUUCAGCAGGGCAGGAGGGGAAGAAGUAUCUGUGGCUCCGAGCAUCUUGUCAGACCCCAACGUUUCCCCCCCAAGCCCCAGCACAAGGAGGGGUGUCCAUGGCUGGCUCCCAGGGCUAUCCCAUCUCUUUUCCCAUCACCCCAGUCCUCUGCAAGGGGGAAGGGGCGGUUGGACAAAACAAGCCCUUUCUGCUCCACAAAGCUCGUCAGCUAGCGGCUCUGGGCUUAUAAUUAUUAUUUCCUUAAAGACGAGCCGAGCAGCUAUAGACAAAAAAGCCCCCUCUUGUCGGAGCUGGAAUUUGAUGUCCUAACGACUGUUUUUGUACCGUGCCUGUUAGAGGAAAGAGCUCGGCAGGAGGGGGAAAGAGAGAUUUAAUUAUAGAGCUGCAUUGUGAUUUUGCACACAUAGCUGGCUGUUGUAAUCAGGUUACAAGUGUAUCUGAUUUUCUUCCCUCCCCUCCCUCUUCCUCCUCUUUCUCUCUCUUCUUUUUUUUUCUUUUUUUCUUUCCCCUCCCCCUUUUUCCUUUCGUUGGUCCAAAUUACUUGCUUAUGUUUGGGUGUUGCAGAGACGAGCUGUUAUUUGCCUGCACUGAAGAUCUUGAUCAAGGGAACAAUGUUUCCAAGGAUCCUCAGCAGCUCUUUGCUGGAGGAAGCCAAUGGUUCCCAGCUCCACCAGAAACCCCCCCUGAGCUGUGCCAGGCACUUGCAUCCCACCAUCCAGGGGCUCCCACCCCCACAGUAAGGAUGGACACCCAUAUAUACAUAUAUAUAUAUAUAUAUCUGCCCCAACUCCCCCAUGCUCCCCACAAAAUUCCUUCACAUCCAGGAUUCCCUCAAUAAAUUGAGGCUUAUGAAGAAGAGGAGAAGCUCGAUUUACCUCCACUGGAGCAAGAGAAAGGAAAGAGAGGAGAAAAGAAACCUUUUUAAAAGAAACUUUAUAUUUUCCUAUCUGAGUCAAGUGAUGCCGCACUGGGACUGGGGACUGUUGUUGGGUUCAUUUAAGAAUCUAUUGUUGUCCAUGUGAAUUCUUUUUUACAUUUCAAAUAACAGGAUUAUUUCCCCAGGGGGUAAUAUCCUGUAAUUUGAACACAAUAAUGGGAAUAAAUUACUUACUUAGAACUAAUAACGACAGCCUGAUUCCAAUAUAUAUAGGAACUGUAACAGCUUUGGUUAGUUAAAGUGUAAUUGUGUCGACGGAUGACAUUUUCUUUCAAAGGAAUCUGAAUGACUUUUAAUUAAAUUUGCUGGGGGUGGGGAAGAGAGGGAGAGAUACACCGGGAGAUCUCGGCUGCCGAGGCUGCGGCGGGUCCCAGCCCCGGUGCCCCAAGCUGAGCUCAGCCCCAAGCAAACCCAGCCCCGGCUGCAGUUUCCAGACCAAGCACAGAAUAGGGAAGAAGGAAACCAGUGCCAAAGCACAUGG
This is a long non-coding RNA of Lepidothrix coronata (blue-crowned manakin), 3031 nucleotides long. RefSeq lists it as uncharacterized. NCBI's taxonomy places the organism in Eukaryota, Metazoa, Chordata, Aves, Passeriformes, Pipridae. The transcript has 3 exons. The record is from RefSeq and is a predicted model, not a curated record.